RNAcentral lists this unclassified non-coding RNA (373 nucleotides) under Hevea brasiliensis (rubber tree). The record is from RNAcentral. Lineage: Eukaryota; Viridiplantae; Streptophyta; Magnoliopsida; Malpighiales; Euphorbiaceae.
GAAGAAGUUGCAGUUGCCAGCCUUUCCAACUUUAUUCAUUGGAGGAAACCAUGAUGCAUCCAAUUACAUUGGGGAGCUGUUUUCAGAUUGCAAGUGAAUAAUGGAAUUCCUAUGAUCAAGAGUUGGUGUGAUGACCCCCAUCAGACUCUGCACUUACUUCAGAACUUCCAUUUCUAGUGACGCUGGCUGAUGCUGAUGAUGUCUGUCCUAUCAUUGCUAAGAAAUUCAGUAACAAGGGACACGAGUCCCUUGUCUCUUCCUAGUAGUUCCUCUAACUGUCCCUCAUUUCUUACUUCAUGUUAGACAAUUUAUCCUUCAUUACUUGCUCAUUAUUAUCCCUCAUUGAGCCUUGUAUAAUUGUUUUUGCAUUAAG